CCCGGCGGUUACAGCGGAGGGGCCACACCUGUUCCCAUUCCGAACACAGAAGUUAAGCCCUCCAGCGGCGAUGGUACUGCGUGGGCAGCUGCGUGGGAGAGUAGCACGCUGCCGGGU
Molecule: ribosomal RNA, 117 nt
Filed under: Candidatus Poribacteria bacterium
Lineage: Bacteria; Candidatus Poribacteria
Source: RNAcentral